Molecule: ribosomal RNA, 1123 nt
Filed under: Bacillus subtilis
Lineage: Bacteria; Bacillati; Bacillota; Bacilli; Caryophanales; Bacillaceae
Description: partial 16S ribosomal RNA
Rfam family: Bacterial small subunit ribosomal RNA
Source: RNAcentral
CRUCGCAKCUAUSAUGSARGUCGAGYGGACAGAUGGGAGCKUGSUCCCUGAUGUUAGCGGCGGACGGGUGAGUAAYACGUGGGUAASCKGCCUGKAAGACUGGGAUAACUCCGGGAAACCGGGGCUAAUACCGGAUGGUKGUUUGARCCGCRKGGUUCARACAKWAAAGGUGGCUUCGGSUACCACUUACAGAUGGACCCGCGGCGCAUUAGCUAGUUGGUGAGGUAACGGSUCACCAAGGCAACGAUGCGUAGCCGACCUGAGAGGGUGAUSGGCSACACUGGGACUGAGACACGGCCCAGACUMCUACGGGAGGCAGCAGUAGGGAAUCUUCCGCAAUGGACGAAAGUCUGACGGAGCAACGCCGCGUGAGUGAUGAAGGUUUUCGGAUCGUAAAGCUCUGUUGUUAGGGAAGAACAAGUACCGUUCGAAUAGGGCGGUACCUUGACGGUACCUAACCAGAAAGCCACGGCUAACUACGUGCCAGCAGCCGCGGUAAUACGUAGGUGGCAAGCGUUGUCCGGAAUUAUUGGGCGUAAAGGGCUCGCAGGCGGUUUCUUAAGUCUGAUGUGAAAGCCCCCGGCUCAACCGGGGAGGGUCAUUGGAAACUGGGGAACUUGAGUGCAGAAGAGGAGAGUGGAAUUCCACGUGUAGCGGUGAAAUGCGUAGAGAUGUGGAGGAACACCAGUGGCGAAGGCGACUCUCUGGUCUGUAACUGACGCUGAGGAGCGAAAGCGUGGGGAGCGAACAGGAUUAGAUACCCUGGUAGUCCACGCCGUAAACGAUGAGUGCUAAGUGUUAGGGGGUUUCCGCCCCCUUAGUGCUGCAGCUAACGCAUUAAGCACUCCGCCUGGGGAGUACGGUCGCAAGACUGAAACUCAAAGGAAUUGACGGGGGCCCGCACAAGCGGUGGAGCAUGUGGUUUAAUUCGAAGCAACGCGAAGAACCUUACCAGGUCUUGACAUCCUCUGACAAUCCUAGAGAUAGGACGUCCYCUUUCGGGGGCAGAGUGACAGUGGUGCAUGGUUGUCGUCAGCUCGUGUCGUGAGAUGUGGGAUAGUCCGCACGAGCGCAYCAUGAUCUAGCUGCAGCAUUCAGUGGGCACUCUAGGGGUGACUGGACG